Molecule: ribosomal RNA, 972 nt
Filed under: Lactobacillus sp. M15
Lineage: Bacteria; Bacillati; Bacillota; Bacilli; Lactobacillales; Lactobacillaceae
Description: bacterial SSU rRNA
Rfam family: Bacterial small subunit ribosomal RNA
Source: RNAcentral
CGUCGUACGAGUUCUCGUUGAUGAUCGGUGCUUGCACCGAGAUUCAACAUGGAACGAGUGGCGGACGGGUGAGUAACACGUGGGUAACCUGCCCUUAAGUGGGGGAUAACAUUUGGAAACAGAUGCUAAUACCGCAUAGAUCCAAGAACCGCAUGGUUCUUGGCUGAAAGAUGGCGUAAGCUAUCGCUUUUGGAUGGACCCGCGGCGUAUUAGCUAGUUGGUGAGGUAAUGGCUCACCAAGGCGAUGAUACGUAGCCGAACUGAGAGGUUGAUCGGCCACAUUGGGACUGAGACACGGCCCAAACUCCUACGGGAGGCAGCAGUAGGGAAUCUUCCACAAUGGACGCAAGUCUGAUGGAGCAACGCCGCGUGAGUGAAGAAGGCUUUCGGGUCGUAAAACUCUGUUGUUGGAGAAGAAUGGUCGGCAGAGUAACUGUUGUCGGCGUGACGGUAUCCAACCAGAAAGCCACGGCUAACUACGUGCCAGCAGCCGCGGUAAUACGUAGGUGGCAAGCGUUAUCCGGAUUUAUUGGGCGUAAAGCGAGCGCAGGCGGUUUUUUAAGUCUGAUGUGAAAGCCCUCGGCUUAACCGAGGAAGCGCAUCGGAAACUGGGAAACUUGAGUGCAGAAGAGGACAGUGGAACUCCAUGUGUAGCGGUGAAAUGCGUAGAUAUAUGGAAGAACACCAGUGGCGAAGGCGGCUGUCUGGUCUGUAACUGACGCUGAGGCUCGAAAGCAUGGGUAGCGAACAGGAUUAGAUACCCUGGUAGUCCAUGCCGUAAACGAUGAAUGCUAGGUGUUGGAGGGUUUCCGCCCUUCAGUGCCGCAGCUAACGCAUUAAGCAUUCCGCCUGGGGAGUACGACCGCAAGGUUGAAACUCAAAGGAAUUGACGGGGGCCCGCACAAGCGGUGGAGCAUGUGGGUUUAAUUCGAAGCAACGCGGAAGAACCUUACCAGGUCUUGACAUCUUUUU